GUAGCUUCCUUGUCGUGUGGCCUCAGUCCUUCGCCGUCCCUCGCCGUCCUUCGCCAUCGCACGCCACCGCACCCCAUCUCUCGAAAUCUGCAGACAUCUUGAUUUUUCCCACGCUGUCUGUCAGGUCUCCGCCGCCACUCGACGCCAGGGCGCCGGGCCUUGUGGGCUGUGCUGCACCUCGGACGGCUUCGCACCAGCCAGCGCCCUCUCUCUCCUGCAGCACUCUGAUCUGCACCCCCUGAGGGGCUUCCACUGUCCGCGGGGAGUGUCACAUGACUGCCGCCCCAUGUGUGUGAGAGGCGUCCUCUGGGAGAGCAUGGAUCCUGAGGUCCCAGGAUUGUCAGCUGACCUCUGUCCUGUGUGCCCAGUGGCCCCAGGUGACGUGUCUUCAAGAAGAGGCUGAGCUGCGGUGCUUGUAAGGUCUCAGCCUUAGAUCCAAGGACAGUCCAAGGAAGUCCUAAGACCAUGGAGUUGGUGAUCUGGGAUCUGGGUUUGCUGAUAUUUCUCACCGUGAAUCUCUUGGUGGUGUUUGUGGGCACGAGAGGGGCAGAGAAUGGAGAGUGAGGCUACCACAUGAAGCGUCACCAGAGCUGCUCCCUGCUGCCUGCUCAGAGCACCCCGGAUCCACUGUUCAAUCUGCACAAGAUUCGGGGUCCAGACAUGGGAGACUUCAGCUGCCUCAGAGGACCGUGGACAGGGAAGGCCAGCCUCGCAUCCCUCUGUCCAUGCCUGGAAUGACUUUAAUAACCAAGAGUUUUAUUUUUGAAUUUGUAGCUGUCGUUCACUUUUUACCCACCCAUUCAAUAAACCUUACAGAAUUGCUC
This 824-nucleotide long non-coding RNA is filed under the name Homo sapiens (human). The record is from RNAcentral. Lineage: Eukaryota; Metazoa; Chordata; Mammalia; Primates; Hominidae.